RNAcentral lists this unclassified non-coding RNA (3152 nucleotides) under Leishmania donovani. RNAcentral's name for it is "gene:LdHU3.33.3760(CDS-product:mitochondrial_RNA_ binding_complex_1_subunit)". Lineage: Eukaryota; Euglenozoa; Kinetoplastea; Trypanosomatida; Trypanosomatidae. The record is from RNAcentral.
UACGCAAAACGCACAGACUUGUUUCUCCUCUAACGUGGUGUUUGAUGGACGCUGCGAAGUGAGGCAUAAAAAAAAAGGAGGAAGUAAUCAAGAUCAGAUCCGGCACAUCGCCAGGCUGAAGUUGAGAUGCUGCGACGACGCUGCGUACGCGCUGCUGCUGCUGAUGGCGUGCUGGGUGGCGAUGCGGCUGCUAUCACUUACGCGCUAGGCAGCGCUUCACGCACGGUGACGUCUCGCGGUCAGUUCAACCCUAUUCACGCCUUCACGGAGCAUAGCAUUUCCCCGGCAAAGCGGGCCACAAACGAAAAGGAGUUCGAGGUGAUGAUCACCAACCCAGGUCCACUGCGCGUCGCCUACUCGCCGGACUACCUCGACUGGCUGUACCGCGCGUACCGGUCGAAGCUCAAGUACACCGACGAGCGCAAGAAGGCGGAGGAGGUGUUCAAUGGACUUCUGCUGACGAAGCAGGCCGAUGAGGAGGGGCCCGCCGCUGCCGCUGCGCUGCCUGGCGCCCCACCGCCGGGGCAGACGCUGCGACCGCGCCACUCUGUGCGGCGGCAGGCAGGCGAGGCACGGCGAGCGGCUGCCCAGGCGAAGCUGGACGCUCUCGCGAAGCAGCAAGGCAUGCUGGACCUCUUUGAGCGGCAGCCGCAGUUUCCUGCAAUUCACAUUGACAAGGCCGCCCGCUGCCAUGUGGUGGAACUGUUCAAGGAGAUGGUGCUGGACCGCGCCUGGAAACCAGAGGAGGUGUGGGACAAGGCACUCCUGUACCGCGCGAUUCUGGCGGAGCGGCAGGCGUCGUACCCUGCCUCGUACCGGUACAUCCUGGACACGGCGCAGGGGGUGAAUCUAGCACCACGCGAGAGCGGCAUCAGCGAUACGGGUAGCAACGGCAGCAGCGUCGAUGCACGCUCGUCCAACGAAUCUGCUGGCGGCAUUGUCGGCCAAUCGACCUUGGUCAUCCCGAGAGAAGAUGACUACAUGUACUUUGUGUACCUGGUCCGGCGUUACUACAUUGAUAACGCGGUAGAAGGGCACGUUGUGCUGCGCUGCCACCGCCAGCCGAACGCGUCAGAGCUGCUCUUCUCUCACCCGCCGCCGAAGGAUGAGCAGGAGGUGUUGCGGAGCCUCUACCGUCCUGGCACCGCAACAGCUACGCAGGGAAAGGACGCGUCUGUCAAGGCCCAAGAUGGGGCAGCCGCGGCGCCGCAACAAAGACCGUCAGGAGUUGCCACCAUCGCCCGCCCACGGCCUCCGUCUUCCUACCCGCCCAUCGAGGCGCUGUGGCGCUGCGAGGAAAACGAAGCACUGUUACGCGUGCUGGUCUUCGGCGAGCUGAACCUGCUCGUGUCAGAAAACCCCUUUGUCCGCUUUCCCAAAGCGCAGGCGUAUCUGACGCGACCGUCAUCGAGCACUCCCGCGCCUGGAGCCGCGGGAAGCUCCGUGGAAGGGGCAGAUGGCUAUGGCGGGCCGCACCAGCAGCGUCGUGGAGGCGGCCACCGUGGCAUCGGCAGUGAAGGUGGCAUCUCCCUGUCGAGUGUGAUCGCGGAGAAGCGCGGCCAUCUUCUUGCGCCGCUGUCUCGUAACGUGGCAAUGAUGAUCGACAGCCGCGCCAACGAUGUUCGCCGCCUCCAGCAGCGCUACGAACGCGAGGACACUGCGUCAUUCCAGAAGAUGCUUCGCGGCAGCGCACAAGUAGAGGAGAACCCCGGUCUCUACUCGGCCUACUCGGACUGGAGCUACUUCAACCCACGAGCCGUGCGCGCCGAGGAGCGCGAUGCGCUGUCGCGGCAGACCGUUGCGGCCCUCAAGACUUAUGACGAAGCCUCCAGGGACAUCUAUCGCGUCGGAUUCGAGGAGGCGGAGGCGAGGAGCGCCUUCCGUCCCGUGGAGGGGAAGAACAACGCGCCAUCGUACGUGCCCACGCUGCCGCACUUCGUGGCGCUGGUGAAGAAGGACCCCCACGUGUCGUUUCUGAGUCACGUGGCGCUGCCGGAGGAGUAUAACACCGCCUCCCAUGCUGCUGCGGGAGUCUCGGAGAAGCACCAGCUGGAGAAGCUUGUUGUGCAACUUGCUCGCGCGCUGUAUCGGAUGGCGCUUGAGUUUCACAAGGAGCGAUUGCGUCGCGUGAACCGGCAGAAGGUGCAAGUGGCCGCGUCGCUGCUGGACCGCUUUAUGACGGAGCGCUGGCGGGUACACUGCGUGGCGCACCCGUCGUCAGAGGGCGUACGCGACAUGGCACGUCGCUUCAGUGCCUAUGUCCCCUUCGAGGGCCGCAUUCUUGACGAGAGCGGGUUCCCAACGGACGCGCGCAUGGAGGACUACGAGCGGUGGAUGGCGGCGCCGUCGGUGUAGUCCACCUCCACUCACCGUUUCUCCGGGGCGAGCUUUGCUCCGUUUUAUGGCGUCUGCCUCACCUCUGAGGACAGGAAGGGGUGGGGGAAAGGGCAGAGCGAGUCGUACGACGGCCGCGUCUGCCGUCUCUGUUCCACUGAAUGCAUUCGAUGCUCUCUGCGUUUCGGAUGAACGUGCAGGCUGCGGCUGCUGCUGAGGAUGCCUGACUCGGAGGGAGGGCUGCAUGCCGGCGCGCGCACGCACGCAUGUCUGAGUGCAGAUGUGUGAUCGGCAGCGGCUAGCCUGCGCUCGUUUUCGCUUGAGGACAUUGCCGUUGUUGCUACAGAGUUGAUGCCGCCUUAACCACCAUGCUUUGUGUUCUUUACUCUGGCGUAUGUGCUCUUCAUGACGUGAUCUGCGAGUGAAGGGAGAGAAAAGGGGUCGCACACGCAUAUGUGCGCGGAGACCUUCGCUGAAGUGCGCGAGUUUGGAGAUGUAAGGGAGAGUUUGGUGGAGAGAGGGAGGGACCUUCAGAGGAGGCACCCGAGGUGGAUGAGGUGCGAGUGUGUCUUCUCGUCGAACCUCCUCCCCUUACUCUCGCCAUCACCUUCUGCUCCUGCUCUUCCUGACUUCAUUUGCUUGAUGUCUUGUCCCACUCGUCACCCCACCUCGUAAUGACCCCGAAAAAAACAAAGGAUAUGGUGGAUGCAAUGGCACAAAGAUCGUCUCAUGCAUUCUCUCAGACAAAUUCGUGGCGCUGAGUGGACUAGCAAGCUGUGCGCUCAGCGGAGACUCGCUGAACUUGAAGACCGAUUUGC